UUUUUUCAACCUGACAACUUUUAUUUUUCAUCAUCAAUAAUUCAAAAUGUGGGGAUACAGAAAAGAAAGGGGGUGGGGGGAAAGCUAGUCUUCAUUGUACAAGCAUAUAUGUCACAACUUUACUUGGUUUUCUUGUUAAUUUGUUAAAGUGUAGUCAUGCAUGGUGCAGUGAAGAAAGGCAACAAAUUGGAUGUUGGGGAACCGAUUCGGUGAGGCUCGUGUCAUGCCUGAGUCAUUCAAUGUCAUACAGGAAAUGGGUGUCACAUAGGUAGCACUGUUCCUUCUCAUACAUAGAUACAAGGUUUAAGUCUAGUAUUCCACGGAAUAAUUAUAUAACCAGAAACUAGGCGUAGGAAGGGUGGGUACAGAUUUCUAGACUACUGUCUGUGGAGCUGCAGCAAUACCAUAUGUUGGUCAGUUAGUUAUGCAUACUUAUAACUGUAGGGUUUGGAUGGGCUCAGCUGUCUGAUCCUGAUGUGCAGUAUUAUGUUAUUGAAAUGCUAUUGUGG
Non-coding RNA from Pelobates cultripes (western spadefoot toad), 509 nucleotides. Lineage: Eukaryota; Metazoa; Chordata; Amphibia; Anura; Pelobatidae. The record is from the annotation of a GenBank genome assembly.